UUUAAGUUUUACUUAUAAGGUUGAAAAUUUGAUUAUGAUUUAUAGUAGAUUUAAAAUGGUGUUAUCUAUUUUUGAUUCACUGAGUAGGCAAUAAGUUUUUACCUCGGCACAUUAUCGUUUGUAGAAUUUUUGUUCCAGAAUAAUCGGCUAGACUUAAUAAACUUGGACUCUAAUUAUUGUUAAAUUGGAAAUUUUUUUUUGAUUACUUAUUUUUUAGGGUAAAAUCAGAGAUUUUUUUUUUAUUUUUUUCUAAUUUUUAAAAUUUGGUGAACAAACCAGAUUAGUACCUGGUUAGACAAAAAUUAAAAGAGCAGAAGUAAAGUUAUAUUUAAACUGUAAGAAUAUUGGCAGGUUUUUAAAUUAUCUUUGGAGGUUGAGUAGUAAUUGAGAACCCUCAUUAACAACUUUUUUUAUAGGCGCAUGUAUGAUCGUUUAUUCUAUUCUUAAGGAUUAUAAUUUUAGAUUUUUUUUCUAUAAAAAUAGAUAGAUAUCUGGUUUAUAAAAAAGAUUUAAUUUGACCUACAAUAUAGUAUUAUGUGGAAAUAGGAUGUUGUGUUCUAUUGAAAAUGUAAAAGACAGUAAAAUUCUUUUUAUGGGAAUUUGAAGUUUAUUUAAAAACGGUACAAAUCAUCCAUCAAUUGCCUAAAGGGGAGUAAGUUGUAGUAAAGUAGAGGUAGGGGAACCUGUCUCUAGAAAAUA
This 699-nucleotide non-coding RNA is filed under the name Ortleppascaris sinensis. Lineage: Eukaryota; Metazoa; Nematoda; Chromadorea; Rhabditida; Ascarididae. The record is from RNAcentral.